Molecule: transfer RNA, 54 nt
Filed under: Globodera ellingtonae
Lineage: Eukaryota; Metazoa; Nematoda; Chromadorea; Rhabditida; Heteroderidae
Description: tRNA-Thr
Source: RNAcentral
UAUCUUUUAUUUUAUUUAGAAUUUCUAAUUUGUAAUUAGAGGGUUAAUAGAUAG